This 235-nucleotide ribosomal RNA is filed under the name uncultured bacterium. Its description in RNAcentral is "partial 16S ribosomal RNA". It matches the Rfam family "Bacterial small subunit ribosomal RNA", at positions 99 to 334 of the family's 1533-position model. The record is from RNAcentral.
CGGACGGGUGAGUAACGCGUGGGUAACCUACCCUGUACACACGGAUAACAUACCGAAAGGUAUGCUAAUACGGGAUAAUAUAUUUGAGAGGCAUCUCUUGAAUAUCAAAGGUGAGCCAGUACAGGAUGGACCCGCGUCUGAUUAGCUAGUUGGUAAGGUAACGGCUUAUCAAGGCGACGAUCAGUAGCCGACCUGAGAGGGUGAUCGGCCACAUUGGAACUGAGACACGGUCCAA